UGUAAAAGAAAAUUGAAAAUCAAAAUGUCUUCUCAAAUAUUCUCUCGUAUUUUUCGACCUCUUUCAAGAACUAUUUGCUAUGGAGUACGUGGAAAGAAUAUUUAUAUAUUGUCUGGAAAAAGAAAUGUUUUACCAAACCAGGCAAACCUUGUGCAAAAUGUGAGAUCUAAGAGUAGUACUGGAGUAUUUGCAUCUGACAAUGCCCUCAUGGUCACAGGAUUAAGUUUAUUUGGUGGAGUUCUUUUUUACGCAUUCUAUUUUGAAAGAUUGGGAAAGAUUCCAAAAUUAAAAAAACAAAGUUUAGCCAACAAGCAAGAGACUGUCCUAGCCGAUAUUGAAGAUGAAGAACAGAUAGAGGAAGAUAUCCUAGUUGGCACUCAUCCUGCAGAUGAAGAAAUUCCUGAACAUGUCCCGUUUGUAUUAAUUGGAGCUGGUACUGCAUCAUUUGCAGCUUAUAGGGCUAUUAAGAAUGAGAAAUCUGAUGCCAAGGUUCUUAUCAUCGGUGAAGAGAAAUACACACCCUAUAUGAGACCCCCAUUAUCUAAAGAAUUAUGGUAUAGUGAAGAUCCUCAGGCUAUUAAAACAUUGAGAUAUAAAAAUUGGAGUGGGAAGGAAAGAAGUCUGUUUUACGAAAAUGAUGAGUAUUAUUGUCAACCAAGUGAACUAAUGAAAAAAGAAGGUGGAGCUGUGGCUUUAUUAAGAAGAACUAAGGUUAUUGAGAUUAACCCCAGGAAUCACAAAAUCAAGAUACAAAAUGGAAAAGAAAUAGGAUAUGACAAACUUCUUUUAGCAACAGGUGGGACAGCUAAGAAUCUGAAGGUUUUUGAAGACGCUGACCCUAAUGUGAAAAGACGAACUACGCUAUAUAGAUCAAUUGCGAAUCUUCAAGCACUGGAUAAAGUGACAAAUAAAGCGAAAUCAAUCGCUGUGAUUGGUGGAGGAUUUCUUGGGAGUGAACUGGCAUGUGCUCUAGGACACAGAGGUCGCAAGUCAGGUAUUGAAAUCAUACAAAUAUUUCCUGAAGAAGGUAACAUGGCGCGAGUUUUACCUGGGUAUUUGAGCAAGUGGACAACAGAAAAUGUUGUGAAAGAGGGCGUGAAUGUCAUGACUGGUUGUCAUGUUGAAAAUGUGAAAUAUGAAAAUAAGAAAGUUGCUCUCUUCCUGAAUUCCGGGGAAAAGUUGGAAGUGGAUCAUGUUGUUGUCGCCGUCGGACUGGAAGCGAAUGUUGAUCUAUCAAAAUCUGCAAGACUUGAAGUUGACCCUGAGUUGGGAGGUUUCAGAGUUAAUUCCGAGCUCGAGGCUCGAUCUGAUAUAUGGGUGGCUGGAGAUUCUGCUUGUUUUUAUGAUGUCAAUCUUGGUCGUCGUCGUGUGGAGCAUCAUGAUCAUGCUGUGGUCAGCGGUAAACUUGCCGGGAAAAAUAUGACUGGAGCAAAACAGUCGUAUUGGCAUCAAUCUAUGUUUUGGAGUGAUCUUGGUCCAAGAAUUGGUUAUGAAGCAAUCGGUUUAGUUGACUCAAGUUUACCCACGAUCGGAGUUUUUGCUAAAGCUACAUCACGUGACACACCAAAGGCCGCUGUGGAAGCUACUGGUGAAAAUAUUCGAUCAAGCACACAAGAGCAGGUGUUCGAAUCAAAAGAGGAAAUUGUUGAAAUCGCGGAAGGUAUUGAGUCUAAUGAAAUCAGUGAUGUAGAAAAUAAUGAAGAAUAUGGCAAGGGAGUUGUGUUUUAUAUGCAAAAGAAAAGAGUCGUUGGUAUUGUUCUUUGGAAUAUUUUCGAAAGAAUGAACAUUGCAAGAAAGAUCAUCAUGUCGGAAAAAGACCAAGACGAUUUAAAUGAACUAGCGAAACACUUUAAUAUUCACACGUGACAUCUUGUUGAUACGUCGUCACUUCAUAUGAGACGUCACUUGCAGAGAACAUUAACUCAAGUCCACAGGUAAAACAGAUAAGAAGGAAGAAUAAAUAGCCACUAAAAUGAAAAGAAAACCGAAAACUAAUUAUUGAACCUGUCACGAACAAUACAUCGUGUUAUCGUCCUAAUUCGCCAUGUUGUUUUAAAAUAUCGUAAGCGAAGUGGAUUUUCUUGAAAUGAAACAAGGAAUUUGAAAGUGGAAGUGCUGUUAAAUUAUUUUCAUCGAAGAUACAUAUGACAUAGAUAGUAUUCGUUACCCGCAUUAUCCGGGCUGCUUCUAGUAGGUCGAGGUCAACGGUGUUACAUUUUGGUGAGAAGUCUAAGAAAGGAUUCAUGCAUUCGCUUCUUUUCUUGCUAACGGUGCUAAUUUGUCUACCUGCAUCGACUACCGCAGUACUAGUGGCAUGUAGUGGUUCAAACAGCACUUGUCAGGAAGCUUGUUUGAAACAUGGAUGUACAAAGUGGGAUUGUAAUGGGUCCUUAUUAAAUUUCUGUGAACAAUCAUGUUUCCAGAAACAAUGUUCACAUUUAACAUGUGACAAAACGAUGCACAGAUGCAAUCAGGAAUGUGGUGGAUGUAAAACUAUGAAUUGUUAUUCAUCGGAGUGCAACCAAAAAUGUUUAACUGGAUAUUGUAAUCAUAUUACAUGUGAUGCUGCAAUAAAUUGUCAACA
Dendronephthya gigantea is the source of this 2584-nucleotide RNA transcript. It is a transcript of the gene named apoptosis-inducing factor 1, mitochondrial-like, with no coding region annotated. NCBI's taxonomy places the organism in Eukaryota, Metazoa, Cnidaria, Anthozoa, Malacalcyonacea, Nephtheidae. The transcript is spliced from 19 exons. The record is from RefSeq and is a predicted model, not a curated record.